This is an RNA transcript of Pongo pygmaeus (Bornean orangutan), 8185 nucleotides long. It is a transcript of the gene named serine incorporator 3, with no coding region annotated. The transcript has 13 exons. The record is from RefSeq and is a predicted model, not a curated record. Lineage: Eukaryota; Metazoa; Chordata; Mammalia; Primates; Hominidae.
AGGGCGUCCGGGGCGCAGUCCCCGGCGCGGCUGAGGGACAAAGAUCGGGCCGCAGCCUCCCUCCCCGGGGUCCCCGGCGGCUCAGCCCCUCGCCCCCUGCGACGAGUCGACGCCAGGCCCGGAGCGUUGGGGCCGCAACCGGCCACCCGGCUUCUGCUCACCUGCGGUCUCGCCGCCUCUCCGUGCCUGGGCCGCCGGCCCGCAGCGCCUCCCCGGGGCAGCCUAGCGCCCGCAGCCCGCAACCCGCAGCGGAGCCCGUUGCCUUGGCGACCUGGGCUGCCGAACUCCCGCGGCACUCGCGCUACGGCGGCUCGGAUGGGACCAGGACGGUUCGCGUCCCCUUCCGCAGCCGCGGAGGGGGCAGAGGAGGGACGAGGCAAACUUUGAGUCUCAUUCCAUUUCUGCAAAAGAUGAAUUUGGAAUACAUUUUCAAGGAAUCCAGGAAAUAACAUCCCCAAAUAUGCCACACUGGUAUGAUGAUUGCUUGGGGAACAGCACAUGGACAGAGGGGUUUUCAUGAAUUUCCCUUAUCAGACUAAAGGCUGACAAUCCAGAAGGAAUUCAAUAUGAAUCCCCUUCCAGAGAGUUUUAUCAAUCAGGGAAGAUUAACACACCACAGAAGAAGAGAUUGAAGUGUGACACCUCGUUGUCCAGACAUCAUCGUUUGCCACAUUCCACCUAAACUAUUAUAUAUAUCUUUGCACAAUGAAUACAAAUGAUGUAAGGAAUGACACCUUCACAGCUCCUGCAACCCCAGGAUGGUUUAGCCCCGCCUUCCCCCUCAGCCAAUGACAGGCGCCCCCUCUGCCGCUCCGGUCAAGGACGGUGGGCGGGGCCACGCCGUGACGCAUCCGUGCGUCUGUGGAAGGCUGCGUUUCCGGCCUGAGAAACCGUCGUGUUUCUGGGGAGACGGCUCAGCUGGCAGUUAGCACCGUGUUAGAAAGCAGCCUCAGGACCGGCCACCUUCGUCACUGGCGUCACCAUGGGGGCUGUGCUGGGUGUCUUCUCCCUCGCCAGCUGGGUUCCAUGCCUCUGCAGCGGUGCCUCAUGUUUGCUGUGUAGUUGCUGUCCUAACAGUAAGAAUUCCACGGUGACUCGCCUCAUUUAUGCUUUCAUUCUCCUCCUGAGCACUGUCGUAUCCUAUAUCAUGCAGAGAAAAGAGAUGGAAACUUACUUGAAGAAGAUUCCUGGAUUUUGUGAAGGGGGAUUUAAAAUCCAUGAGGCUGAUAUAAAUGCAGAUAAAGAUUGUGAUGUGCUGGUUGGUUAUAAAGCUGUGUAUCGGAUCAGCUUUGCCAUGGCCAUCUUUUUCUUUGUCUUUUCUCUGCUCAUGUUCAAAGUAAAAACAAGUAAAGAUCCCCGAGCAGCAGUACACAAUGGGUUUUGGUUCUUCAAAAUUGCUGCUCUUAUUGGAAUCAUGGUUGGAUCUUUCUACAUCCCUGGGGGCUAUUUCAGCUCAGUCUGGUUUGUUGUUGGCAUGAUAGGGGCCGCCCUCUUCAUCCUCAUUCAGCUGGUGCUGCUGGUAGAUUUUGCUCAUUCUUGGAAUGAAUCAUGGGUAAAUCGAAUGGAAGAAGGAAACCCAAGGUUGUGGUAUGCUGCUUUACUGUCUUUCACAAGCGCCUUUUAUAUCCUGUCAAUCAUCUGUGUCGGGCUGCUCUAUACAUACUACACCAAACCAGAUGGCUGCACAGAAAACAAGUUCUUCAUCAGUAUUAACCUGAUCCUUUGCGUUGUGGCUUCUAUUAUAUCGAUCCACCCAAAAAUUCAGGAACACCAGCCUCGCUCCGGCCUCUUGCAAUCCUCCGUCAUCACCCUCUACACUAUGUACCUCACCUGGUCAGCCAUGUCCAAUGAACCUGAUCGUUCCUGCAAUCCCAACCUGAUGAGCUUUAUUACACGCAUAACUGCACCAACGCUGGCUCCUGGAAAUUCAACUGCUGUGGUCCCUACCCCUACUCCACCAUCAAAGAGUGGGUCUUUACUGGAUUCAGAUAAUUUUAUUGGACUGUUUGUCUUUGUUCUCUGCCUUUUGUAUUCUAGCAUCCGCACUUCCACUAAUAGCCAAGUAGACAAGCUGACCCUGUCAGGGAGUGACAGCGUCAUCCUUGGCGAUACAACUACCAGUGGUGCCAGUGAUGAAGAAGAUGGACAGCCUCGGCGGGCUGUGGACAACGAGAAAGAGGGAGUGCAGUAUAGCUACUCCUUAUUCCACCUCAUGCUCUGCUUGGCUUCCUUGUACAUCAUGAUGACCCUGACCAGCUGGUACAGCCCUGAUGCAAAGUUUCAGAGCAUGACCAGCAAGUGGCCAGCUGUGUGGGUCAAGAUCAGCUCCAGCUGGGUCUGCCUCCUGCUUUACGUCUGGACCCUUGUGGCUCCACUUGUCCUCACCAGUCGGGACUUCAGCUGAACCUCUGAGUGCCAAGGACACCACUGAAACUCACAAAGGUCUCCUUCACCGAAAACCCAUAUACCUUUUAAGUUUGCUUCAACUAAAAUGUUAAGUGAAUGCUUUGCAAGUUUGACUGUAUCCAGGUUUAUAUCAGAAGGCACCCAACUCAUUGAUGUCCUAAUUACUGCUGGAUGACUCAAGCCACACCAUGCCUAUGUUCUCAGGUGAAGAAGAAUAAUAGAAACCACAUAGAUGGGUAGGUGUACCAAGCAUUAAACAGACAGUAUCCACAUGCCUGUAAGGUGGUGAUUAUUUCCCUCCCUCCUUCCUUUUACGUAUCAGUUUGAGGCUUAGAGAAGUUCAUGACUUGCCUAUGGUUACUCAGUAAGAGGUGAAACAGAGAAACCCAGGGCUUGGCUUAAGAGUUCUUUUUUCAAUUAGACCUCAGUGUCUCUUGGCCCUUAAGAAUAUAAGAGACAACAUUUAUUAGAGACAUGUAGGGGAGUCGUCUGGCUCACUAAUGACUCAUCACCAACUCACCAGAUCUACCAUGGGGAACCUAGUUUUUGUCUACUCUCAGGCACAGAGUGUUUGCUGCUCUACCCAUCACUGACAAAGUCAAGUUAGUAGUCACCUGAAGGCAGUGACUCAUGUCUUUUACUAGGUCAGCUAUCCCUAGUGGCUGGCACCUACUCAGGAAAAAGCAUGAAUAUUAGGUUAAAAAUGUUUUCCCCAGAAGAGUGGUACCCUAAAGGGUCUUAUUACUUACCGUUUAAAUGCGAUAAUGUGAAACUUUAUUGCCAUUGAGUGUAUGGGUACCAAACCAGUACUGUGUAAGGAGGGGGCAGGGUACAUCAAGAAAAUACUGACUCAUGGAAAAGGGCCUCAUAAGACUGCUGUGAGAGAAAAGGAUUUUAACAGUUAGCUUCAUUUUUCUAUAUGUGAGAAACAGACUGAACUUAAGUUCCACAAUUUCCUCAGGAAAGGCUGACCUGAAGGGGUGGUUAUGCUGCAAUACAAGUACUUAACCUGUUGUGUCAUCAAAAGUGUACCUCCUGUGUUAAGAGUAUUUCUCAACUGACUCAUCAAGUCACCAGAUCUACCAUGGGGACCUAGUUUUUGUCUACUCUGGGGCACAGAGUACCAAACAAACAGGGGACAUAGAAACAGCUUAGCAAGCCUGGGACCAGAGUUGGGCAAGCCAUGCUCCAGUUACCCCUCAAGGAGUCUGGGCUUACUUCUGGAAUAAAAUGUCACAACUUGGGUUUAAGAGAGGUUAACAACCACUGCUUGUAUUUUCAAGAAGCCAGGAAAAAAGUCAAUUUCUGGUACUUUCUUACUCUAUGAAAGAGUCCUGCCUUCUCUCUCUCUUCUAUCUGGGGACUGGUUAUUUGUCUCCAGCCAUCAGGAGAAAACAGUGGGCUUGUCACACUUCCUGGGUUUGAAUCCCAUCGUUAGUAUUUGGCUAGUUGUGUGUCACUGGGCAAGCUACAUUUUGCCAACAGGAACAGUAAUGCAGCUUCAUUAAGGGUAACUGAAGGUUAAAAUACAUUAUUUAUGAGUGUCCUUAACACAUGUGUGCCCAGCCCACAUGCACAUUGAGGAAAUGGCUGGCUAUCACUGGAAAGACUCAAGGCCAGUCCAAGAAGUAUAGCUGGGCCUCAAGAAUGUAAAAUUUGCAUAUCACCUCUCCAUACUGCAGCAGUCUAAUUGUGUAUGAUCUUCGGAGGCAGCCAGCGCAUCUACAGAAUGCACUGUCCUAUCACAGUGCCCCUCCCUCCCUCACCUGCAGAGGAGGCGGUCUACCCAGGCUGUGAAUAAUGAACCUUGGAACCUUUAUCCAAACUGUCAUCAUCACAAAAGAACCCCAUGCACAUUUUUCAGAGAUUUUUAUUGUUUCAGACUCAAGUCAUGCAUACUAAAAUUACAUAUUUUCACCACUUUGACUUAGAAAAUGCACUAGAAAAAUAAACUUUGGUCAAAACAAACAGUGAAGUACACGAAUUCACCAUGUAUCCCUAUACUCAAACCCAAACUGAAUUUCAGUUUGAAGCAAGGAAUGUGACCAGUGGCUGAAACUGCCCCAAGCUGGUCAGAAAAUUAGCUUACCUCCCACUCCAUCAGAGGCUCUUCGUCAGAGAGGUUUCAAGUAUUUCACUUGUAACAGGUUCCUACCUGAUAUGCCAAGAAGCCGAGGCAUAGCUACAAGAAUCCACAGCAGCUUCUCCUCACUGCCUCACUAAACCUGCUGCCCAGUGAGAUGAAAAGAAAAACAGCCCCAUGAAACAGGAAUUUCAUCACUAUCAUCUCCAUCCACAAAUCACAUUGAUCCUUCCCAUGAAGCAAGCUCCUAUUGACUCUGAUGAUGUUUGUUACUAGCAUUUUAAGCAAACCAUUUCUCUAAGUCAGGAGAGCAGAAGAAUAAAUUUAUUUAUUUGACACGGAAUAUUGCUUUGUCACCCAGGCUGGAGCACAGUGGCACAAUCUUGGCUUACUGCAACCGCUGCCUCCCGGGUUCAAGCGAUUCUCCUGCCUCAGCCUCCCAAGUAGCUGGGAUUACAGGCACGCACCACCACACCCAGCUAAUUUUUGUACUUUUUAGUAGAGACGGGGUUUCACCAUGUUGGCCAGGCUGGUCUCAAACUCCUGACCUCAAAUGAUCCACCCCCCUUCAGCCUCCCAAAGUUCUGGGAUUACAGGGCAUGAGCUACUGCACCUGGCCAAGAGCAGAAGAAUUUAGAUUUACAAAAUUAACAGAUCCCAAUACAGAGAGGUGUUACCAGAACUGACAUCUUUCCUGAACAGUAGACAUGUUUCUGUUCAGUAUAGCCACACCUCUCAUGGCCACAGGAGAUACAUUGUAUAGUAUAUAGUAUGUAAUUGGUUUAGCUAACAUUUUACUCCCUAAAUUAAAGGAGGCUUCAGAGGAAAACUUUAAAUGUUGGCAACUUUAAAAUGGUAAAACUUUUUAAAAGUAUUAUAAUCGCCACAGCAGUACUCUAGCUUUUGCUACCCAAAUGAAAAAAAAUCCCAUGAUUGAUCUAAGAGUCAAAUACUAUUUAAAGAAAUUGCCCACCCAGGGAGAAUUCUGAAAGGCUCAAUAUAAAGGAAUUCAGAGAAAAGCCUCUUAUUGUCUUAUUUCGGGAAAAAUGGUGUUUUGUAACCUGAUUUUUAAAUUUUUAUUUUUAUUUUUGAGAUGGAGUUUCACUCAUCACCCAGGCUAGAGUGCAAUGGCGCGAUGUCGGCUCACUGCAACCUCCGCCACCUGGGUUUAAGUGAUUCUCCUGCCUCAGCCUCCCAAGUAGCUGGGAUUACAGGUGCCCGCCACCAUGCCCAGCCAAUUUUUUGUAUUUUUAGUAGAGACGGGGUUUCACCAUGUUGGCCAGGCUGGUGUCAAACUCCUGACUUCAGGUGAUCCACCUGCCACAGCCGCCCAAAGUGUUGGGAUUACAGGUGUGAGCCACCGCGCCGGCCUUGUAACCUGACUUACAGACCUCCUAAAAUAAGUGACUCCUUAUGAAACCAGGAUGAAAUAUGAAAGAUCUAAAGCUACUUUUGCCUUAAUUUUUGCAGCAGCAAUAGAAUAAAAAAGAAAAUGCAAGGAAAAAAAUUAAAAAAUAAAGCAACCUUUGCCAAGAGCAAGUUAGAAACUCAAGACAUGAAGCCAGAGUGGCACUUUUGGCUGUUUGUGUAGAUUUCAUCCAGUCUCUCCCCCAUGAAGGCAGAACAGGGGAAGAAGCACAAUUUUCCAGAAUUCCAUGUUGGGAUAUGGGGGAAGAAGAGAAAGAAAAUUCCCAUAUUCUGAAAUGUAUAGAUUUGGAAGCUUUUAGGUACCCAAUUCAUUCAGACCUAAAUUUACUAAAUAACAAGCCAAUUGAGGGGGAAAAAAAGGAAAAAAGCUUCUAAAAAGAAAGAGUACAGUGUCUCUGUGGCAGUGAAGCCAACUAGAUACCAGGAGUGAAGUUUGGAGUAUAGAUCUCUAUCAUAGAAUCACACAGGGAUGUUAAGCCAGCUCAUCCAAGGCCACGUAGUGAGGUAAAGGUGGAGCCCACGUCUCCUAAUUUACUGUCCCAUUUCCUUCCGACACCACACUACCUUGAAUUUAGGGAAAAGUUAAUUUCCAAGUGUUUGUGCAAUGGGCCAGAACUUCUCCCUGAAGGAACACACUCCCAGCUCUUGAGGUUCAUGUGUUUGCCUCACCAGUACGCUCCCCAGUGCUGAGUAAGGCUCACUGUGCUCCCUCGCUGGUCAUUCCCCACCUUGCUGAGACAGCCUGACACAAACACCCUGGUGAAGCCACAAGGAGACCACCUUGAUUUUCACGCAGGGAGGUCUUGGUUUCACAGCUUGGUUCAAGUUUCCUGAGGUGUCAAAACUAUUUGAUACCUCUUUGGAGCCAAAACAAAGCAAGCAGCUCCCAGAGGCAGAUAAACUUAGGCUCCAACUCCUUCUAGAAGCUGAGUGAAACCACUCCUUCCUUGUCCAACUGGAAAAACCUAAGAAAUAGGCUUCUCCAAGUCCCUUCUGGUCUUUGAGAGAAUUCUCUAGGAGAGCUCUGGCCAUGCCUACAUUAAAACAAAUGCGACUGGCCAGGAAUGCAGUGUAGAACUGAAACAUCAGGGCUGAGUGAUUCAUUCCUCUUUACCCAGUUUUUGUUUUGUUUUGUUUAUCUGUCUUCCCUCUUGGGGAAGUCUCCACCCAGUUCUCCCAUCUAGGCCACUGGGUUCUGAACCCCCUCCUUCCCUCCUUUAGCUAUCCCACUUGCCCUACUUGGGCCUUUUCAGCAGUGUGGGUCACAUCAUUGUCAGAUGGAACCAGAAGCAGCCAGGAGUGCUUUUUGGCACUUCCAGCUCAGCCAGGACCCUAGAGGAUCCAGGGUUACUAUCCAUGGUGAAAAGAACUUUCUCUAGAAUUGGUAUUAAUGAGGUUAAGUAACUUAAAAUUUCCACCAACAACUUAUCCAGACAUUUAAAAAGGCAACAGAGAUAAACAGCUUAGUAACAACAGACUGGCCUUCAAAUUUCAGAGUAUUGUUUUCUCCCUAACUGAGCUGUCUGCCUUGACUGGUUAGUCUAAUAAAUGCACGGAGAAGGUGCACACACAACACAGUACUUUUCACUAUUUAACACCAUGAUCGUGUGGAAUACAUUAGAAAGGAAACAGGUCAAAAACCAUCAUGUGAACCAUCUAAUUUGAUGUUUGGGCUAAGGCUAAAAUCUUCACAGGGAGGUUCUAAAGUGCUGAAAUGCAGAACAUUCAGGCUGACUGGUUCACCCACACCAGAGAGAGAAACUCAAGUGGGGCUGGGAGGGCAGGGGGGCCCAGAAGUGACCCAGCAAUAACCUGUGCUUGUGUUCAUUUCCAAAGACCAAAAAAAAAAAAAAAAAUUUUUUUUUUUUUUUUGAGGCAGAGUCUUGCUCUGUCGCCCAGGCUGGAGUGCAGUGGUGCAGUCUUGGCUCACUGCCACUUCUGCCUCCUGGGUUCAGGCGAUUCUUCUGCCUCAGCCUCCCGAGUAGCUGGGACUACAGGAGCCCGCCACCACGUCCAGCUAAUUUUUGUAUUUUUAGUAGAGAUGGGGUUUCACCAUCUUGGCCAGGCGGGUCUCGAACUCCUGACCUUGUGAUCCGCCCACCUUGGCCUCCCAAAGUGCUGGGAUUACAGGCAUAAGCCACCCCGCCCGUCCCAGAGACCAAAAUUAAAGAAUCUCAAGUAAUUAACUACUGUAGCCAGGUUUACAAUAUAGUACCAGAGUCUCAGGGAUGGAAGGAAUUCAUCAUACAAGAUCCUGGUCACCUUACC